UCAUGGGGUGAGGGGAGGGGGGAGGGAUAGCAUUAGGAGAUAUACCUAAUGUAAAUGACGAGUUAAUGGGUGCAGCACACCAACAUGGCACAUGUAUACAUAUGUAACAAACCUGCACGUUGUGCACAUGUACCCGAGAACUUAAAGUAAAAUAAUUAAAAAAAAAAAAAAAGAUGAGGCUCAGGCAACACAUGUCCCUUAAAUCCAGUCUAUGAGGGCACCACAAAGUCCUUAUUCUUUGCAAAUUCUAGCAGAGAGGUUGUACUAGUUUUGGAGAGAGGCCUCAAAAGCAAGAUCCUGUUUCUUGACACAGCUUACCCUGGUGAAGCUCCCUGGCCAAGCACAAACUCCCAGGUCAAGCACAAACAGCCUUCACCAAUGGCACCAUCAGCCCUCAAAGAGGAGGUGGCACUAACACUGUAAGUGGGCAGCUGCUAUGGUCUUCUGCUGCCUGGAGAGUUUUGCCUCCAUCACUGCUGACCACCUGGGGAAUUCCCAGGAACUACUCUUCAAAGGUACACUCGGAUGCCCCCUCUGCAAAGACAUUUUGUUCCCUUACUGUACCUCUGAAAUCAUUUGUUAUCCAAGCAUUUGCAAAUCCACCUGUCUUCUGUGUGUGGCUUUCUGUGUGGCAUAUCUAUGGACAUUGAGGGUGAAAAACAAGAGGAAGACUCUGUUCCUUUUCUUAGGGAGCUCACAGUUCACUGGAUAAGACAGAAGGAAGCCAUUGACUCUGAAAGGGAACAGGAUGUGGCAAAGAUGGGGCAGAGGGGUGAGCACAGAGGGGAUCAAGAGAAGGGGGAGAAAGACCAUUGUCAUCAGUGCAGCCUUUCUGGGGAGCAAUGUGUGAGCUGAGCUUUGAAAAAGAAAUGAGGUUUUAAAAGAGUGUGGGAGGAGAGCCCUCCUGAGAUGUAUGGAGAGACCAGUGCCCCUCGUCCCUGCCACUCCCGCUCCUGCAGCUGUUCCCUUCUUCCCUCUGUCCCAGCUCAGCACAGUCACAACUCUCCAAAUCAUGACACUCAAAAUGCCACAUCUAAAAAGAACAUCAUGGCUGGGUGCAGUGGCUCACACCUGUAAUCCCAGUACUUUAGGAGGCCAAAGUGGGUGAAUCACCUGAGGUCAGGAGUUUGAGACCAGCUUGACUAACAUGGUGAAACCCUGUCUCUACUAAAAAAAAAAAAAAAAGUUAGCCGGGCAUGGUGGUGCAUACCUGUAAUCCCAGCUACUUUGGAGGCUGAGGCAGGAGAAUCACUUGAACCUGGUGGGAGGAGGUUGCAGUGAGCCGAGAUCAUACCACUGCACUCCAGCCUGGGUGACAGAGCAAGGCUCCGUCAAAAAAAAAAAAAAAAUCCGAGUUCUGGGUGGGUGCCUCUGCUUCUUCUGACUUGACCGCCCCCUUCCCUGCUCUCUUUGUGUCUCAUGUAGUUGUUUCCACUCACUCAACCUCCAUACUCCCUGGACAGCACAUGAAAAAAAUUGCAACUCUGAAUCCCCAUCUGCUUGUGUGUGAUUCGUAUCCUCUGUGAGUCAACAAGGUGAAUAUAUUCCUCAUUUGGUUGCGGGAUUUUUUAAAACGUCUCAAACAGUCUCUGCCCCCUGAGAAAGUAAAUUCAUUCACCUACAAAGAGAAAGGAAAGGGACAGCCAUCCACCAAUUGACUCCUGAGAUUCCCUCUGCAUCCUUCAACACUUAUUGGGACUUACAUGAAACAAUAUGACAACUUUUUAUUUCUAUCAAACUACAGCUUUCUUCCUUGUAUCUGAAGAAGUUGGCACCCUCUACACAGAAUAGGAGAGCACAAUUUCAACAGUUAUUGCAUACAUCACUGACCAUUCUUACUACUCCUCAAAAUUCAUUGCAGGUCCACCAAAUGUUCUGUUUGUUGAAGAUUAAAUUAUAAAAUUAAAUUUCAGCAAUAUGCAUAUAUAAUUAAUGAACCCAGAGAAAAGAUCAAAAUGGUGAGCAUAUAAUAUAAAUGUGUACAUAUUAAUAUUAUACGCUCACCACUUUUAUUUUUCUCUCCAUUCAUUUGUUGUAUAUACAUGUUGUUGGAGUUUAAUCUUACAAUGUAGUCUUAAGGUAACAGAAUAUUUGGUGGACCUAUGAUGGAUUUUGAGGAGUGACUAAUAUGGUCAGUGAUGUAUACAAUAACUGUUGGAACUGUGCAUCUCCUUAUUCGGUGUAGAGGGUGCAAACUUCUUUACAUACAAGGAAGAAAGUUCUGUUUUGUUUGAUAGGAAUAAGAGUUGUCACACUGUUUCAUGAAAGUUCUAAUAAGUGUCGAAGGGUGCAGGUGGAAACUCAGUAGUCAAAUGGUGGAUGGCUGUCCUUUCCUUUCUCUUUGUAGGUGCAUGAAUUUACUUUCUCAGUGGCAGUGUGUAUUUUAGACGUUUUAAACAUUCCAUAACGAAAUAUGAGGAAUAUGUUCACCUUGUUGACUCAAAAAGUAUUUAGAUCAUAGACAAGCAGAUAUAGGAUUCAGAGAUACAAAUUUUUCAUCUUCUGUCAAAGGAGUGUGGAGGCUGGAAAGAAUUACAUCCAAAAGAGAAGGGAGGACGAGUCAGAAGAGGGCAGAGAAGGGAGGUCAAUUCAGAAGAAGCAGAGGCACCAACCCUGAUGUUCUUUUUAGAAGUGGCAUUUUGAGUGUCAUGAUUUGGAGAGUCGCUGUGGCUGUUCCAAGCAAGGAGAGAGGGGAGAAGGAAACAGCUACAGGAGGAGGAGCAGCAGGGAGGAGGGGCAUUGGCCAUUCCAUACUGCUCUGGAAGGCUCUUCUUAUUUAUUUAUUUAUUUAUUUAUUUAUUUAUUUAUUCAUGUUUUUUUGAGACAGGGUCUCACUCCGGUUGCCCAGGCUGGAGUGUACUGGUGCGAUCUCAGCUCACUGCAGCCUUGACCUUCCAGGCUCAGGUGAUUCUCCCACCUCAGCCUCCCAAGUGGCUGUAACCACACAUGCGUGCCACCAUGCUUGGCUAAUUUGUUGUAUUUUCAGUAAAGAUGGGGUUUCACCUUUUGCCACACUUAAAGUAUCAUUGGGUCUGUUGAGUCAGAAGGACAAGUCAUAGAGCAUCUUGAGACCACCUUGUUGCCCAGGCUGGUCUCAAGCCCCUGGAUUCAAGCUGUCCACUUGCCUUGGCCUCCCAAAGUGCUGAAACUACAGGAGUGAGCCACCACAUCCAGCUUCCUUAUUUCUUCUCCAAAGCUCAACUCACACAUUGCUCCCCAGAAAGGUUGCACUGAUGACAAUGGUUUGUCUCCCCUUUCUCUUGAUCCUGUCUGUGCUCACUCCUCUGCCCCAUCUUUGCCACACUCUGUUUCCUUUCAGAGUCGGUGGCUUCCUUCUGUCUCAUCCAGUGAACUGAGAGCUCCUUAAGGAACAGAGUCUUACUCUUGUGUUUCACCUUCAAUGUCUAUAGUUAUGCCACAUAGAAAGCCACACACAGAAGACAGAUAGAUUUGCAAGUUCUGGGAUAACAAACUGUUACGAGGUAAAAAGUCUUGACUCUGAGUUGUCCAGGCUCAUGGGGCAUUGAACAAAGAAUGAACAAAACACUCAGCCAAAGCAACAAAAGAGCAAAGCAAUGAAAGAAGCAACAAAAGCACAGAUUUGUUGUGCACAAACAAAGCAAAAAAAGAAUGAAGCAAUGAAAGCACAGAUUUAUUGAAGCAAAGUACACUCCACAGAGUGGAAGCCAACUUAUGUAAAGGGCUCAAGAGCGCUGAUUACAAUGUUCUUUAGGGUUUUAAGCUAUUAAUAAUUUAGCAACACCCCUAGGUGCCCUUUAGAGGCCUCCAAUUGGUUACACCCUAUGAAGGAC
Molecule: long non-coding RNA, 3812 nt
Filed under: Homo sapiens (human)
Lineage: Eukaryota; Metazoa; Chordata; Mammalia; Primates; Hominidae
Description: HSALNT0263840
Source: RNAcentral